UACAGAGGUCUCAAGCGUUGUUCGGAUUCAUUGGGCGUAAAGGGUGCGUAGGUGGCGCGCUAAGUCGGGUGUGAAAUCUCGGAGCUUAACUCCGAAAUUGCAUUCGAUACUGGCGUGCUUGAGGACUGGAGAGGAGUCUGGAAUUCACAGUGGAGCAGUGAAAUGCGUAGAUAUUGUGAGGAACACUAGUGGCGAAGGCGAGACUCUGGACAGUUCCUGACGCUGAGGCACGAAGGCCAGGGGAGCAAACAGG
RNAcentral lists this ribosomal RNA (253 nucleotides) under uncultured bacterium. RNAcentral's name for it is "partial 16S ribosomal RNA". It matches the Rfam family "Bacterial small subunit ribosomal RNA", at positions 524 to 776 of the family's 1533-position model. The record is from RNAcentral.